UGAGAGGUUUUCACAGAUUUGAUUAUACUUUUUUCAUCUGUUUCCCCUUAACCGACCACUUGCAGGAUAAUGGCUGAUAGAGUUUAGGGGAACACUCACACAUGUACAUAUAUAUGUUUAUAUAUGUGUAUGUAUGUAUAUAUAAGAGUACUAGCCCUCCCUUUCUCUGGUCGACUUUUUCUCAGGGCUCACUCCACAGUAGAGGUCACUGGCUCACAAUGGGAUCAAAUUAUGAAUGUGGCCUCAUUUAUCCUGUAUUCCUGGGUUAACUGAUCAAGACAUAAGAUUUAUCCUAGGAUUUAAACAUUUCUAAUAUAAUACAUCUUUCACCCGAUUCUCUAUGCCUUCCUCCACAGAGCGUAACAUCUAGACCUAAUGAGAGCAGAAAAUUAGAAAAUUUUCUUCUACUCUAUCCCCAGACCUGCUUCUUGAAAUAUAUCCAUCCCUGAUUCAGAGGAAGGGGUGUUUGCUAACUGGUUGCUUGUGAAUGUUGGCCCACACGAAUACAUUAAAAGAUACUGGAAGAGUAUGAAGGAGUUCGAUGACUCCAGCCAGAGCAAGUCAGAAUUGAUUUAAAGGUCUGGGCAACUGGACACUCUGAAAGGAUCAAGUCCCAUCUGCAUUAAAAAGGAUUUUCCAAAAUGGCAAUAUCAUGUCAGUGGCAAUACUUACCACGAAGGAGCAAUGAGUGUUUUUGUUUCUAUGAGAGGCAAAGUGGCAUAGUGAAUAAAAGGUCAGCCCUGGAGUCAACACCUGAGUCUAAAUCUUGUCUUUGAGCCUGUGUAACAAUGGUCAAGUCACUUAACCUCUCUCCAGGUAGCCAAGUUAUUCCAGGAAUAUUUAGAAUACUCAGUACCGUAUGAUAUCACAGCAGCUUUGGGACUCAGAGUUCAGUAUCU
This is a long non-coding RNA of Sarcophilus harrisii (Tasmanian devil), 899 nucleotides long. RefSeq lists it as uncharacterized. Lineage: Eukaryota; Metazoa; Chordata; Mammalia; Dasyuromorphia; Dasyuridae. The transcript has 4 exons. The record is from RefSeq and is a predicted model, not a curated record.